AUUGGCACGAGUGUCGCAGGAUAAUGUGUUUGCUGCAGAUGCCAUUUGAAAAUAUAGGCAGUGUAAGCACUGUAGAAUCUAAUUAUUUCUUUGCAAAACCUAAUUAGGCAUUAAAAAAGGUUAACGCCAGCGCCUGAAACGUUUUUGUUUAAUAAUCCCAUUACUGACGGCUCAUCAUGUAUAAAAUGGUGCAGGAGGACUCUAAGUUUCCACUUGUUAAAGGGAAUCUCUGAGAAAUAGUCGCAGACUUUUUGACACUAUCUGCGAUUGGGAAUUAGGGCUUGUAAUUAAACUGCGGGGACUCAACUCAGCACACAGACGCUUCCUACCAGGGAGGGAGUGUGAUGCUAACAAUGGGCCUGGAGCCAAAACCUAUUGACACAGAAGGCAGAGGGAAUCUACCAGAAAGCUGACUUUUUACGUGGCCCCGCUGACCCGAGCUAUCACGGCGCUGUGGAGACGACUGGGCCGCCCUGUCCGGAGUCCAACCCCCCCCCCACCCCACGGGGGCCAAAGGGCAGAGUCCGAGGCCCGGGAAUGCCACCACCAGCUGCUGGCGGUGACACCGGUCACAAAGAGGGCUUGGUGAGCAAUGCUUCUUUCUGUGGGUUGUCAGCGUUGUGACAGUGCUGGCUUGACAUUUAUUUACUCUCUCUGGACCCCCAAACGGUCAGUUUGGUUUAAAUAGUGAGCCACCGAGUUGAAUGUGCUUCUAACAUCUCGGACCGUUACUGUAAAUCUUUGGAAUUAAACUCCAGCAGCUUAUUUGCUAAAGUCGUUUUCUAUGUUUUUUUGGAUCAGUUAUUUUUCAUAUGAAAGUAAAAAGGACACAUUAUGGUUUCACCGUUUGACCGCUUGGACUGCUGAUCUGGACCAAAAUCCAAGUUUGACUUAUGCAAAAUAUAUAUAUAUAUAUAUAUAUAAUUUGUUGUUGUUGCCAGGCAUAUGUACAACACCAGGUCUGAGGAUAGCAUGAAAAUAAUAGAAUUCCUCACUUAUAACUCCAGACCUGAUGAUUAAAAGUCUUCAAUAUUGGUAUAACAACACCUAUAAUAAAUUAAAAAACAAUUAAAACUGUAUUUUUUUCCAAUUAGAAAGAACAAAAGGAAUAUUCCCAACCCGGCAAACCCAAACUGUCUCAUUGAUGUUGCAUAACAACAAAUAAAUCAAUGACAAGUUAAAUGAACCCCUGGAACCGGCUGCUUUGUACCCAAAAUAUCAAUGUUGGUAACCAAUCCACUAAGGCUUUUUUAAUGGGAUUAGAUUGAAAUGAAUGCACGCAUAUUAAAUAAAAUAGUUUUAACCAGGACAUCUUUUGCAAGUGUUUCAACAAAAUAUUAAUAUAUUAAAAACUUACCAUGUCCAAAUGUGUUCUUGUCUAUUGGGUUUAAACUGAUUUCUGACGCAUUAUUAAACGCACAAUGAAAUUAUAGCCAUUAUUACAACACAUACAUAAUAAGUGGUAAUAAUGCUUCUCCAGUGACACCUCAUUUCGCGUUUAUUGACGAUAAUGUGAGUAACGCCAUCACAAAUGUUUUGUAAACUCGUUCAAACCAACACGAACACGAGCGCUUAAUGUUGAUCGCCAUGCGGUCACGGCAGGUUGAGGGUCUAGCUUUUAGAAACUAGAUCCUUCAGCCCACGUCCCGACGCUCUUAAAUUCAAACGUUUGUCUUUGCGCACAGCGCCGCGCGGUUAACACUGGCCCCAUUACGCGAUGUCGUUUGUGCCUCUCGGUGUUAUUUGGACAAUGUUUGGCCGUUUACCCGGCCUGCGUCUGCGCGCUCAGAGGAGGUCUCGACAGAAAUUGAUACUAAUUGCGCGGACUGUACACUGCUGGCUGGUGGAGCGCCUGCAGGCAGUUGGAGGACCUGCUUGUCACCGCCUAAUUUGACAAGGGCUUGUCUGUCCUGGGAGCAGCUGGUCCUAAGCACUGGCGCACAAUCGCUAUCCUGACACGGCCUCCACCCGCCCGAAGGAGUUUCGAGGGGAAAAACGCCGUUAAAGGGGAGAUUUAUUGAAUCUCCCCUUUGGGUGAUGCUGUAUUAAGUACAGGCAAUAUAGGCUCAUUUCCACGGGUGCAAAAGGGGAGCCCCGCUCCUCGGUAUUAAUAACAGAAGGAGCCAAUUAGGGGUGGACAGGUGACUUUUUGGCAUUAUGAAUCACCGCAAACGAGGCGUUGCGCGCGGGGUGGAUGAACGCUAUAUGGGUGCAGCGCUGUUCUGGAGUCGGUUUCGAGGAAUCCUUACUUCUCGCGUGCUGCGCGACACACAAUGGGGCGAUGUGCGUAAAUCGGAUGAAUGCAGGGUGUGUGUGUGUGUGUGUGUGUGUGUGUUGCGCCAGACAUUCAGCCGGCUCCCACGCCCCGGCACAAAUGACAUCAACACUCACAGUAAACAUAAUCAAUUCACUAUUCUGCCCUGUUUCUAUUAGUCCGCGUCUUUUAUAGCUGAAUGCAUCAAGAGGGGAGGGGGGGGGGGGGGGGUUUCCUGCACUUUCCCACUGCCUGUAAAGAAACGCUGCUUUUCGGAGCCUUUUGAACUGAAAAUCGUGAUUUUCUUUCCCCCUGGUGUUCUCCGGACGCGCUCUUUUCUUUCUGCGGAACAAUGACAACACUGGAGCGCCCCGCCGGUGCGCCACAGUUGGGGAUCCCCCGGAUUGUUUUGGACAUCUUUGGAUUUCAUCAAUCAAAAUGACUGCAGUUUUCCAUAAAAAUGCUGAAUUUGGUGCUGGAACCGAGCGGGCAAG
Molecule: long non-coding RNA, 2748 nt
Organism: Gasterosteus aculeatus aculeatus (three-spined stickleback)
Lineage: Eukaryota; Metazoa; Chordata; Actinopteri; Perciformes; Gasterosteidae
Source: Ensembl